UAGAAUUAAGAACAAAGAAAUUUAUGAUGAAAUUAUGUUUAAUUUUAAAAGUGUUACCAGAUUUCAGAAUUUCUCAAUGUUUUAACUGGGUUAGAAUUUUUAGAAUAUAUACAUAAAAGAAAAAGUAUGAUUAUUUGCAAAUUAUCCACUCAUUGAGCUGUAAGCUCAUAUUUCUUUUCACCUUUUUCUUUAUCAGAUAGCAGUAGAGUUAGUAGUAUUAGAGCUUGUCGAUCCACUGAAUUGAGCCACACGUCAUUAGUUGUAUGGCCUACUUUAUCAUAUUAGGUAGUACCUGUUUCUUGGGUUACAUGUAGCUUAUGUUAAAAAAGGUUGCCUUGGUGGUGGGUCUAGCACUUGUUGGUAUCUAUCAUCAGCCCACGACACACGGAUUCAUUAAGGUGAUUCGGGACGAGUCGUGUCAGAAUAGGUCAUAAUUACGAAGAACAAGGCUACAAUCAACAAAAAUUAGGUCACAAUCACCCAUUCACAUCAUACCCAAAUGUACCCGUAUAUUGCAUCUCACAUUAUAAUAUAUUAAAUAAAAAAUUUAAUUAGUAUAGCCAGGUUUACCUUCUUCUUCCUCAUUGGAUUAGAAAGACGUCCCUGCAUCAACAUCAUUUUCAUUUUUACGCGUUAUAAAGCUUUGAAUUGCAGAACUUGUUUCAAAGUAAACUUUAAUGGUGGCCAAAACAAAUUUUGGGUGUGUUGAAGACGACAAAGAUGGAGGCCAAUUUCAAUGGUGGUUAACAGGUGUGCCAAUAGUUGAAAAUGCUUGGGUCUCAUUGGGUUCAACUGCAGGUGUGGGGUGCCAUUGCCAAACCAACCUCAACGUCAAUGCUCAGAAGCUUGAUAAUAUUCGAGCCACUGUAUUCAUUAGUUAUGGAUUCAUGGCCUUCGUCUGUGGAAUUAUAAUUGGGAGACCAGUCAAAGGUGGAGUUAUGUUUGGGAGGUGAUUUCGCCAGGGUAGGUGGUGAGAAAUGGUGGUGGUGGUUGGCCUUCAUAGUGUAGUGUUCGGCAAAUUUUGAAGAGUUACAUAGAUAAUAACAGUGGGGAUGAGUAAAAAGAUUUGAUUAUAUAUUUCUCUUAUUAAUUCUAUAUUAAUUAUUUUAAUUAAUCUCUAUUAUCAACAGAUCAAUGAAAUUAAAAUUAUAUCACCUUAAUUUUGAAUUGUAUAGUUUAUAUGUAGGGUUUGAGCUAAUUUUCCCUUAAUAGUAACUCCUUUAAACUUUAAUAUCUUCGGCCUAAUUUAUCUAAAUUAACUUUUUCUCGAAUUCAUGGUGCAUAAUUUAAUACAAACUACAAAACAAGCCCAGUAUUAAUAUAUUAAU
This 1328-nucleotide long non-coding RNA is filed under the name Olea europaea subsp. europaea. Lineage: Eukaryota; Viridiplantae; Streptophyta; Magnoliopsida; Lamiales; Oleaceae. The record is from RNAcentral.